Molecule: ribosomal RNA, 315 nt
Filed under: uncultured bacterium
Lineage: Bacteria
Description: bacterial SSU rRNA
Rfam family: Bacterial small subunit ribosomal RNA
Source: RNAcentral
UGGCUCAGAACGAACGCUGGCGGCAUGCUUUACACAUGCAAGUCGAACGGUAACAGGCCUUCGGGCGCUGACGAGUGGCGAACGGGUGAGUAAUGCAUCGGAACGUGCCCAGUCGUGGGGGAUAACGCAGCGAAAGCUGUGCUAAUACCGCAUACGAUCUGCGGAUGAAAGCGGGGGACCUUCGGGCCUCGCGCGAUUGGAGCGGCCGAUGUCAGAUUAGGUAGUUGGUGGGGUAAAGGCCUGCGCAAACCGACGAUCUGUAGCUGGUCUGAGAGGACGACCAGCCACAUUGCGACUGAGACAGAACCCAGACUC